GGAGCCGUAGCUCAGUUCGGUUAGAGCGCCUGCCUGUCACGCAGGAGGUCGCGGGUUCGAGUCCCGUCGGCUCCGCCA
RNAcentral lists this transfer RNA (78 nucleotides) under Chlorobiales bacterium. RNAcentral describes it as "tRNA-Asp". It matches the Rfam family "tRNA". Rfam says of the family: Transfer RNA (tRNA) molecules are approximately 80 nucleotides in length. Their secondary structure includes four short double-helical elements and three loops (D, anti-codon, and T loops). The record is from RNAcentral. Lineage: Bacteria; Pseudomonadati; Chlorobiota; Chlorobiia; Chlorobiales.